AUUCUGGUUGAUCCUGGCGGAGGUUACUGCUAUCGAGAUUCGACUAAGCCAUGCGAGUUGAAUGUCCUUACGGACAUGGCUGACUGCUCUGUAACACGUGGACAACUUACCCUUGGGUUCGGUAUAAUCCUGGGAAACUGGGGAUAAUUCCGGAUAGAUCACAGUGGCUGGAAUGCCUUGUGGUCCAAAGCUCCGGCGCCCAAGGAUAGGUCUGCGGCCUAUCAGGGUAGUAGUGGGUCUAAAGUACCUACUAGCCUACGACGGGUACGGGUUGUGAGAGCAAGAGCCCGGAGAUGGAUUCUGAGACACGAAUCCAGGCCCUACGGGGUGCAGCAGGCGCGAAACCUUUACAAUACGGGAAACCGUGAUAAGGGAAUCUCGAGUGCCAGCAUACAAUGUUGGCUGUCCAGGUGCCUAAAAAGCAUCUGUUAGCAAGGGCCGGGCAAGACCGGUGCCAGCCGCCGCGGUAACACCGGCGGCCCGAGUGGUAACCGCUAUUAUUGGGUCUAAAGGGUCUGUACCCGGCCAAGUAAGUCCCUUGGGAAAUCUGGCAGNUUAACUGUCA
This 565-nucleotide ribosomal RNA is filed under the name uncultured archaeon. RNAcentral describes it as "bacterial SSU rRNA". It matches the Rfam family "Archaeal small subunit ribosomal RNA", at positions 1 to 568 of the family's 1478-position model. The record is from RNAcentral.